Molecule: long non-coding RNA, 972 nt
Filed under: Oryza sativa Indica Group (long-grained rice)
Lineage: Eukaryota; Viridiplantae; Streptophyta; Magnoliopsida; Poales; Poaceae
Description: lncRNA OsKYG_11g0008290
Source: RNAcentral
AUGGCGAACAUUGUCCUCAACCCAGGACGUUUCCUUGAAGCUGGACAGCAUGUCCAAGAUGGGAGCCCUAAUCGUCUGCCUAGGGCAGACAUCACAGUGCCUGCUCCACAAAAACAACAUGAAGCCUACAUGCUAGCGGAGAUUGAGCCCCAAAUUCGAAAUCAUCUACAUAAUGAACUAGGUAUAAUGGUCACUCAUUGUUCUCCGCAUCCUCUUGGUGUUGGCCUCUUUGCUGGUGAAUCUUGGACCUUUGGUGUCUUUGUUCUUAACAAUGAGUUUGCUGACCUGCAACCUCAAGAUGAAGAUUUGCCACAUGUUGGUGCUCCACCUCCCCCACCUGACCCACCUCACCAUCAUGGCCCUGCCUGGGAUGAGAUUAAUCAUCAUCAUGGAGAUGAAGGUGCUUGGGGAAAUUGGGAGCAGCAGGCUAAGAAUCAACCUGGUUCCGAUCAUUCAGGGCUAAGUUCACAGGGUGCUAGUGCAAACUUACAGAUUGUUAUUGCUGCUAGCACUGAUAGUUCUCCUCUAUUUACUAUUUCUCCUGAGAUGCAAGGAAAGAUUGAUGAAUUUGUUCUUAGGAUGAAGCUGUUGAAAUCUCUUCGGAACAAGACACACAUACCUUUGCCUAUUCAAAAUACGGCCCCUUUCACUCAACUUCUAUACCCCAAGAGGAAAGCUUUGUCUGUUUACUCUCAGUCAGUGGAGCCAGUGGUCAAAAGGGCCAACUUGAAUGAAUCCUCUUCCUGGGCCAUGGAGAAAAGCCUAUCUAUAGAUGUAAUACCAAGCACAGAAGGCCCUAUCUUGUCCCCAAUUCCUCUGGCUAUUUUGCCUCCUUCAGGAGUUCACUUGGAUUCAGAUAAGUUUCUCUUGGCAGGCCCUGAGGUUUCUGUUGGCAGGAAUGAGCCAGUUUCUCCGGUUGCUUCAAGCUCUGAUGCUCUGAUUCUUCCUAAGGCCCCUGUUAAGAAAAGAGAU